Parcubacteria group bacterium GW2011_GWA2_38_13b is the source of this 2012-nucleotide non-coding RNA. The record is from Rfam.
UUUAUUGAGAGUUUGAUCCUGGCUCAGGACGAACGCUGGCGGCGUGGAUGAGGCAUGCAAGUCGAGCGAGCCGUUCCUCAUUGCGUUUGGAACGGAAAUCCUAAAUCUUAAAUCUCAAAUUCUAAAUAAAUUCGAAAUCACAAAUUCUAAAUUAUAAACACUUGUUUUGAUAUUUGAAUUUUAGUGAUUGAAUAUUAUUUGGGAUUUGGCGCUUGGGAUUUGGAAUUUCCGCGACGAGCGCAGCGAGGAGCGGCGAGCGGCAAACGGGUUAGUAAUACCCUGGUAUCUACCCUAAAGACCGGAACAACCCAGAGAAAUUUGGGCUAAUGCCGGAUGGUAUAAAGGUUAAAAUCUUUAUUAAAGGUUGUAGUAAUACAGCCACUUUGGGAAGAGCCUAGGUCCUAUCAGCUUGUUGGCGGGAUAAUAGCCCACCAAGGCUAUGACGGGUAGGGGGUGUGAGAGCAUGGCCCCCAACAUUGGGACUGAGAUACUGCCCAAACUCCUACGGGAGGCUGCAGUCGAGAAUCUUCCACAAUGGGCGAAAGCCUGAUGGAGCGACGCCGCGUGCGGGAUGAAGGUCUUCGGAUUGUAAACCGCUUUUAAUAGGGAUAAAUAGCCGUUCCUCACUGUGUUCGGUAUGGAAUUUUAAAUUUUUCCGCCAAAGGCGGAUCCCGCCCAAUGGCGGGACAAUUUUCAAUUUUCAAUGUUUUAAUUUUAAAAACAAUUAAUUCAUUAAAGAUUUAUUAAAAAUUAGAAAUUUCGUCCGAGCGUAGCGAGGAGCGGCAUUGAUAGUACCUAUUGAAUAAGGGGUUGCUAACUCUGUGCCAGCAGCAGCGGUAAUACAGAGACCCCAAGCGUUGUCCGGAUUUAUUGGGCGUAAAGCGUCUGUAGGUGGUUUAUUGCAUCUUUGGUGAAAUCCUGAAGCUUAACUUCAGGCAUGCUGAAGACAUGGGUAAACUAGAGCAUAUGAGGGGCCAAUGGAACUCAGGGUGUAGCAGUGAAAUGCGUUGAUAUCCUGGGGAACACCAAAAGCGAAGGCAUUUGGCUGGCGUAUUGCUGACACUGAGAGACGAAAGCGUGGGUAGCGAAUGGGAUUAGAUACCCCAGUAGUCCACGCCCUAAACGAUGGAUACCAGGUGUUUGUAGUAUCGACCCUACAUGUGCCGAAGCUAACGCGUUAAGUAUCCCGCCUGGGAAGUACGGCCGCAAGGCUAAAACUCAAAGGAAUAGACGGGAACCUGCACAAGCGGUGGAGCGUGCGGUUUAAUUCGAUUCUGAACGAAGAACCUUACCAGGGCAAGACGCCACGAUGAAACCCCAUAGAAAUACGGGGCCUCUUCAAGGACAUUGUGGACAGGUGCUGCAUGGUUGUCGUCAGUUCGUGCCGUGAGGUGUUCUAUUAAGUUAGGUAACGAACGCAACCCUUAUUCUGCGUUACAUGUGUCGCAGAAAACUGCCCCGCCUAAAGCUCACAGGCUUUGGGAAAUCCUAAAUCCGAUCCGCCAGUUGGCGGAUUAAAUCCUGAACAAUCUUAAAAUUCCAAUGUUCAAAAUUUAAAACAUUUUGAAUUUAGAAUUUUGAUAUUUGAAUUUGUUUAGAGUUUAAAGAUUGGAAUUUAGGGUUUUUUGCCCAAAAACCUGCGGUUUUUGGGCGGGGAGGAAGGUGGGGAUGACGUCAAAUCAGCAUGGCCCUUGAUGCUCUGGGCGACACGCGCGCUACAAUGGGAUGUACAAUGGGUUGCAAAGCCGUAAGGCGAAGCUAAUCUCAUCAAAGCAUCUCUCAGUUCGGAUUGGGGUCUGCAACUCGACCCCAUGAAGCCGGAAUCGCUAGUAAUCGCUGGUCAGCCAUACAGCGAUGAAUACGUUCCCAGGUUUUGUACUCACUGCCCGUCAAGUCAAGGGAGCCGGUAAUACCCGAAUACAGUUUUAGGACUGGAGACGGUAGGAUCGGUGACAAGGACUAAGUCGUAACAAGGCAUCCGUAGCGGAAGCUGCGGAUGGAUCAAUUUUACU